GGCACUAUAGCCAAGUGGUUACGGCGACAGAUUUGAAUCUUCAUGAUAUCUGUUCCUCUUUGAGGGCGCAGGUUCGAACCCUGCUGGUGUCG
Non-coding RNA from Pluteus cervinus, 92 nucleotides. Lineage: Eukaryota; Fungi; Basidiomycota; Agaricomycetes; Agaricales; Pluteaceae. The record is from the annotation of a GenBank genome assembly.